UUUCUUUCUCAUUAUGUUUCCUUUUCUCUUCCAAUCACAAUUCUGGAACCAGAUAAGAGAAGUUUGGAAACUCUCCACUUUCUCCCGGCUUCUCCUUCUUCAUCCACCAUCUCCAGCGCCACCGGCGAAGUGGGAGCUCAUCACCUCCAUGCGAUCCCCAGUCCUCAGUCAUGCUCCCAUCUCGGUCUCCUCGUAUGUUGCUCUACCUUUGCCGUUCUUGUUUGCGUCUUGUUGUGAAUGUUUGUGUGCCGCUGGAUUCUUUUUCGUCCUCUCUCGUCUGUUUGUUGCUAGUGUUUGUGUGUGAAGUGGGAGAUCUUUUGCUGUUGAAGGCCGCCGGAUUCUUCCACAUCUUCCCCUGUUCAUGCUGUCUUUAUUCUGGUUAAGGAGUGAGAGCACGAGGAGAGAGGGAGCGUUUGGUUUUUGCUUUAACAUUUCCUCUUCAUUUCUUGCUUGUUUCUCUAAUUCUUGCCGUCGGUGUGCAUCCUGGAUCUUCACCAUAGAUUCUUGUCUAUGCCGUCAACUUGAAGUGCUGAGCUACAUGAAUUUGUUCUCCUCUACUUUCUUGUUUGCUGGUCGUGCAAGCUCGUGUUGUGCAUGUGUUCUCAGCUUUCAAUUUCCUUGUUCUUCUCAGCAUGGGUGUCAAGUAUGUGUGUGUGAUAUGUUAGCUGAUGUUGUGCCUUCCGCUAAUCCUUGAUGGGCAGUAAUAUUCAGAUGAGAUGAAAAGCUGAAAUCAAACUUCUUUAAAGUAAAUUUUUUAUAUCAGGUACUCUACAUAAGCUAUAGUUAGGGUCCUCAUCCUUAUGAUUUAUACUUUGAUAUUUACUAAUCUGAAGAAAAUUCUUUGCUGCUACUACUGUUUUGUAAAAUAUUAAAUCUUUUGUUCGUAUGGUUUGUAUUGAGGAUGGCUUAAUUUAUUAUCAAAGGUCUUCAUGGUUUAUAAAUUAGAGUUUUCUUGAGUAAAGACUUUUAGGAUAUGGGUAUUAUCUCUAUAUUAUGUGCCAAACAUGUUCUAUUUUUGGGGUGUGACAUAGAUUUAGAUUUUUCAAAUCAAAGUUCAUAUAAUCAUUAAUUUAUAUGCCAAUCUAAAUUGUCUAUUUUUUAUACAAUCAAAUUCAAUACACGCGUACACUAAGAUGUCAAUGGUGGGAUCAAGUCCAAGAUCUUGCAUGUCCAAGUGAGAGAGAUGGCAAUGUCACUUAAACAACUCAUCUAAAUUAAAAUUUCUAUUUAUGACAUGUGGUUAGGAUAAGAUGGGUGUGUGCAUACAUGGCAAUUAUUUACUUCAAAUUAUUCUUUAGAUAUAGACCAAAUAAAAAUAGACAUCACAGUUUAGUCAACAUUUUUUUAGUAGACAAUGAUAAAUUAAUGUAUAAGUUUAUAAAUGUCUAUUGGAUCAUGAUUUAGUUUUUCUUAAUUUUAGCCUAAAAAGAUAAUUUAAUUUACAUAUAAGACCAUCGCUCAAGUUUGACUGAAGAUUUUUAUAUUAAGAAAUUAUUAAAUAGAUUAUUCUGGGAAAAUGAACCUCUUUAAAUACUAAGACAAGCAGACAUAUAUUAUAUUGUUGAAAAAACAAGUCAAUUAUCUUCCAUUAAUAUGUAACGUAACACAUUAUAUAUGGAGUAUAGUUGGCCCACGUAAAAUAUUAAUUCUGGUUCUUUUUUUUUUUGUUGCUUAGAAAGGUUGUGAGAAAUUCUAUAUAUGUAUAUUAACAUGUAGGUUGGCGUGUUUUUGUUUACCAUUGUGAAUUUAGAACCUGAUGUUAUAAAACUUCUAUCCCUAAUACCUUUGCAAUAUUUGAAGUAACACUUGAGACUAGACAGAGUUUUUUUUUUUAAUUUUCGUGUAUUGUAUAGGGAACAGUUGAGUUAUAUUAUUCAUUUAGCAUUAUAACAUGUGAUUCACCGAAAAUCAUCAGGACUUCAUCGUCAGUGCAAGCUGUUUCCAUUUUUUUUAAUUAAUUUUCGUGUAUUGUAUCGGGAACAGUUGAGUUAUAUUAUUCAUUUAGCAUUAUAACAUGUGAUUCACCGAAAAACAUCAGGACUUUAUCAUCAGUGCAAGCUGUUUCCAUUUUUUUUUUAAUAGAAGAGGAAUUAAUGUAUUGUUUAUAGUGUCAAGGAGAGCAAGUUACUGAUACAGCUAUUUUGCAUAAUUAAUGAACUUGCAUGACAGAUAAAUAACGGUAUUAAAAUAAAAGCAAUCUUGAAGACAAGAACAAAUGCCAAGGAUAAACCAUGCUUAAAGAUUUAUAAUAUAAUUCAUAAUAUUAAUACCUUAAAAGUUAAAAAUAAUUUGGUCAAAUAUAUUAAUUUUAAUUUUAGUGCCUGUUUUCUGGCGAAUAAUAUAAGUGUACUGUUUUUAUUCUAAGUUCACCCACACACUUGGACAUUUUUAUAGUAUCUUUUCAUUUUUCAAACAUUCUUGAGUUAUGAGUUUGCUUUUAUCCAAUUCACCUAAAUUUGUUUAAAAAAAUUAAAAUUAGAAAACAUAUCCUUAGAAUAUGGAGGAGUUUCUAUUCUAGUCUUGCGUGUUCAAACUCUCAUACCUUCAUAUUUAGCAUUCCUAUUAUUAAAAAAACAAUCCUAAAUUCAGCUAUUUGACUAUUGUUCAACCUCAAAUUCCACGACACAUCUGUAUGGAUCAACCUAACUUCCUAAACCAUCAUUCUUAGAAAUCAUUUAUCAAAACUGAUUCUCCUUUUCGUCUUUCUAUCUGUCUCCAACUAAAUUUUUCCCAGGAAAAAAAAAAAAGAAGUCCAAGGUUUCGUUCAUAUACAGUUUGCACCAUCAAAUAUUACGAUCAUAAGAUAUUGAUCCCCAUAUAAUGUUGCAACUACUGUAAGGCAUGUGGUUGUCACAACAGGUUCUGAUAACAAACCUUCCACAACAUGGAUCUAUAGCAUUCAUAUUAAUGUUACCUCCACGUUGUUGUUAUGUUGCUGCGAAGAAGCAAUUUGAAUCCUUCGUUUCUUCUUUUCAUUUCAUCUAAAAUACCGUGACUGUAUCAACAUAAAGAAAGGAAAAGAAUUGUGUUCAUCAUCCAUGUCUUGUAGUUCCAUUGUUGUUUUUCUGUGUGUGUUUCUAACGUUUGGCACGAGUAUUGCUGUGGAUGGGAAUUUCGGAGAAUAUUUUGCCACUCUCUUUGGAGAAAACAGAGCCAGAAUCGAAGAUGAUGGAAAAAGCUUAUUCCUAACGUUGGAUCAAUAUUCUGGGUCCGGCGUUAUUUCCAAGAGUGAGUAUUUGUUUGGAAGAUUUGACAUGCAAAUCAAACUCAUUCCAGGAAACUCUGCAGGCACAGUCACUGCUUUUUAUUUAAGCUCGGAGGGACCCCACCACGACGAGAUAGACAUAGAGUUCUUAGGAAACCUGUCGGGAGAUCCUUAUCUGAUGUCCACCAACAUUUUUGCCUACGGCGAAGGAGGUCGAGAAAUGCAAUUCUAUCUUUGGUUUGAUCCCACUGAGGACUUCCACACCUAUUCUAUUGAUUGGAACUCUCAACGUAUAAUAAUAUUAGUGGAUAACAUUCCCAUAAGAGUGAUGCGAAACAGGCAUGAGAUCGGUGUGCGUUUCCCAACGAGGCAACCCAUGAGGGUUUUCACAACGCUUUGGAAUGGAGACUCUUGGGCUACCAGGUGGGGGCAGGUGAAGAUCGACAUGUCCAAUGCUCCCUUCAUUGCUUCUUUCCGAAACUUCACGGCCCGCGCCUGCACCGUGAGCCCGGAGCCAUCGUGCCGGGGAUUUGGUGUUGCCCGCCAGACCAAAGACAUGGAUCCAGAGAGCAAGAUGAAGAUGGAACAAGUGCAGGAAAAGUGGGUGGUGUAUGACUAUUGUCAUGACUUCAGGCGUUACUCUCAUGGACUUCCAUGGGAAUGCCGCAAAGCCAAUCAAAUAUCUCAAUAGAGACAGGUUAUUGCAACUAGUUGUAACUAGUUACUGCCGUACUUUAUCCUAAGAGAAUAUGAAUCAACUUAUAUUUCACUGACACACUUUGUAAUGGGAUCCACACACACGCACACAGAGACACGACACAAGCAGGUUUAUCUCCAGAUGAUGAUGAAGGUAUACUUGGCAUGCUUGUCCAAUUGCAGAAGGACGGCUCUGAAGGAACUGGCAGGGUACAGGAAGAGCUACUCAGAAGUGUUACAAUGGAAACCAUUGAUGGCCUUUGAGAUGCGUUUUCUUGAAUACACAGUAAACCUAUUUGGAUGCAUCUCAUCAUUUCAUUUCUUGACGAAGAACCACCUCCUUCAAUCAAGUUGGAUCUACAAAAUUUGACACUA
Molecule: RNA transcript, 4276 nt
Organism: Prosopis cineraria
Lineage: Eukaryota; Viridiplantae; Streptophyta; Magnoliopsida; Fabales; Fabaceae
Gene name: xyloglucan endotransglucosylase protein 1-like
Exons: 5
Source: RefSeq, a predicted model, not a curated record